UACGGAAGGUCCGGGCGUUAUCCGGAUUUAUUGGGUUUAAAGGGAGCGCAGGCCGUAGAUUAAGCGUGACGUGAAAUGCCGCGGCUCAACCGUGGAAGUGCGUCGCGAACUGGUUUACUUGAGUGGGUACGAUGCAUGCGGAAUUUGUGGUGUAGCGGUGAAAUGCUUAGAUAUCACGAAGAACCCCGAUUGCGAAGGCAGCGUGCAAGUCCCUUACUGACGCUAAUGCUCGAAAGUGCGGGUAUCGAAC
RNAcentral lists this ribosomal RNA (250 nucleotides) under uncultured prokaryote. RNAcentral's name for it is "partial 16S ribosomal RNA". It matches the Rfam family "Bacterial small subunit ribosomal RNA", at positions 524 to 773 of the family's 1533-position model. The record is from RNAcentral.